UACGGAGGGGGCAAGCGUUACUCGGAAUUAUUGGGCGUAAAGGGCGCGUAGGCGGUCGUGUGCGUCGAGGGUGAAAUCCCCGGGCUUAACCCGGGAGCUGCCUUCGAUACGGCACGGCUUGAGUCCGGGAGAGGGGAGCAGAAUUCCCAGUGUAGCGGUGAAAUGCGUAGAUAUUGGGAGGAAUGCCGGUGGCGAAGGCGGCUCCCUGGACCGGUACUGACGCUGAGGCGCGAAAGCGUGGGGAGCGAACAGG
Molecule: ribosomal RNA, 253 nt
Filed under: uncultured bacterium
Lineage: Bacteria
Description: partial 16S ribosomal RNA
Rfam family: Bacterial small subunit ribosomal RNA
Source: RNAcentral